AACGGGUGAGUAAUAUAUCGGAACGUGCCCAGUCGUGGGGGAUAACGUAGAGAGAUUUACGCUAAUACCGCAUACGAUCUAAGGAUGAAAGCGGGGGCUUCGCAAGAACCUCGCGCGAUUGGAGCGGCUGAUAUCAGAUUAGGUUGUUGGUGAGGUAAAAGCUCACCAAGCCGACGAUCUGUAGCUGGUUUGAGAGAACGACCAGCCACACUGGGACUGAGACACGGCCCAGACUCCUACGGGAGGCAGCAGUGGGGAAUUUUGGACAAUGGGCGAAAGCCUGAUCCAGCAAUGCCGCGUGUGGGAAGAAGGCCUUCGGGUUGUAAACCACUUUUGUACGGAACGAAACGUCUCGCUUUAAUACAGUGGGGUAAUGACGGUACCGUAAGAAUAAGCACCGGCUAACUACGUGCCAGCAGCCGCGGUAAUACGUAGGGUGCGAGCGUUAAUCGGAAUUACUGGGCGUAAAGCGUGCGCAGGCGGUUAUAUAAGACAGUUGUGAAAUCCCCGGGCUCAACCUGGGAAUUGCAUCUGUGACUGUUUAGCUAGAGUACGGUAGAGGGGGAUGGA
RNAcentral lists this ribosomal RNA (570 nucleotides) under uncultured bacterium. RNAcentral's name for it is "bacterial SSU rRNA". It matches the Rfam family "Bacterial small subunit ribosomal RNA", at positions 101 to 665 of the family's 1533-position model. The record is from RNAcentral.